RNAcentral lists this transfer RNA (129 nucleotides) under Colletotrichum falcatum. RNAcentral describes it as "tRNA-Leu". It matches the Rfam family "tRNA". From Rfam's summary of the family: Transfer RNA (tRNA) molecules are approximately 80 nucleotides in length. Lineage: Eukaryota; Fungi; Ascomycota; Sordariomycetes; Glomerellales; Glomerellaceae. The record is from RNAcentral.
GGCAACUUGGCCGAGCGGUCUAAGGCGCCAGACUCAAGAAACGAGGUCCCACCUUCUGAUCUUCCCCAUGCGUAACCGGGGUGUAUUCUGGUCUCGAAAGAGGCGUGAGUUCGAAUCUCACAGUUGUCA